GGGGCUGUAGCUCAGUUGGGAGAGCGUCUGAAUGGCAUUCAGAAGGUCGUCGGUUCGAUCCCGAUCAGCUCCACCA
This 76-nucleotide transfer RNA is filed under the name Nitrospiraceae bacterium. RNAcentral describes it as "tRNA-Ala". It matches the Rfam family "tRNA". From Rfam's summary of the family: Transfer RNA (tRNA) molecules are approximately 80 nucleotides in length. RNAcentral also lists the same sequence under 2 other names. Lineage: Bacteria; Pseudomonadati; Nitrospirota; Nitrospiria; Nitrospirales; Nitrospiraceae. The record is from RNAcentral.